RNAcentral lists this ribosomal RNA (442 nucleotides) under uncultured bacterium. Its description in RNAcentral is "partial 16S ribosomal RNA". It matches the Rfam family "Bacterial small subunit ribosomal RNA", at positions 338 to 795 of the family's 1533-position model. The record is from RNAcentral.
CCUACGGGAGGCAGCAGUAGGGAAUCUUUCACAAUGGGCGAAAGCCUGAUGGAGCAACGCCGCGUGCAGGAUGAAGGCCUUCGGGUUGUAAACUGCUUUUAUAAGCGAGAAAUAUGAUGGUAACUUAUGAAUAAGGAUCGGCUAACUACGUGCCAGCAGCCGCGGUCAUACGUAGGAUCCGAGCAUUAUCCGGAGUGACUGGGUGUAAAGAGUUGCGUAGGUGGCAUAAUAAGUAGCUAGUGAAAUCUGGUGGCUCAACCAUUCAGACUAUUAGCUAAACUGUUAAGCUCGAGACCGUUAGGGGUAACUGGAAUUUCUAGUGUAGGAGUGAAAUGCGUAGAUAUUAGAAGGAACACCAAUAGCGUAGGCAGGUUACUGGGACGGUUCUGACACUAAGGCACGAAAGCGUAGGGAGCAAACGGGAUUAGAUACCAGGGUAGUC